RNAcentral lists this ribosomal RNA (172 nucleotides) under Candidatus Omnitrophota bacterium. RNAcentral describes it as "partial 23S ribosomal RNA". It matches the Rfam family "Bacterial large subunit ribosomal RNA", at positions 2757 to 2925 of the family's 2925-position model. Lineage: Bacteria; Pseudomonadati; Candidatus Omnitrophota. The record is from RNAcentral.
GGAAAGGAUAAGCGCUGAAAGCAUCUAAGCGCCAAGCCCCCCUCAAGAUUAUGUAUCCCGUACCAAAUGGUACCUAAAGGCACCUCGUAGACUACGAGGUUGAUAGGCCGGAGGUGUAAGACCCGUAAGGGUUUCAGCUGACCGGUACUAAUCUGCCGUGAGACUUGACCAC